CCAACAGGGAUUGCCUCAGUAACGGCGAGUGAAGCGGCAACAGCUCAAAUUUGAAAUCUGGCUCUUUCAGGGUCCGAGUUGUAAUUUGUAGAGGAUGCUUCGGGUGCGGCGCCGGUCUAAGUUCCUUGGAACAGGACGUCAUAGAGGGUGAGAAUCCCGUAUGUGACUGGCGACCAAGCCCAUGUGAAGCUCCUUCGACGAGUCGAGUUGUUUGGGAAUGCAGCUCUAAAUGGGUGGUAAAUUUCAUCUAAAGCUAAAUACCGGCCAGAGACCGAUAGCGCACAAGUAGAGUGAUCGAAAGAUGAAAAGCACUUUGGAAAGAGAGUUAAAAAGUACGUGAAAUUGUUGAAAGGGAAGCGCUUGCAACCAGACUUGCCUGCAGGUGAUCAACCGUCCUUUUGGGCGGUGCACUCUCCUGCGGUCAGGCCAGCAUCGGUUUGGGCGGCUGGAUAAAGGCCCCGGGAAUGUAGCUUCCUCCGGGGAGUGUUAUAGCCCGGGGUGCAAUGCAGCCAGCCCGGACCGAGGACCGCGCUUCGGCUAGGAUGCU
This 547-nucleotide ribosomal RNA is filed under the name Elixia sp. ASU-THNIII-41750. Its description in RNAcentral is "eukaryotic LSU rRNA". It matches the Rfam family "Eukaryotic large subunit ribosomal RNA", at positions 65 to 627 of the family's 3401-position model. The record is from RNAcentral. Lineage: Eukaryota; Fungi; Ascomycota; Lecanoromycetes; Umbilicariales; Elixiaceae.